UCUUUUCUUAGUUAGUUCCUUAUAUUUUUGAGCUAUUUACGUUAUUUUUGUGUUUAUAGGAUUUGUUUAUGCAAAGAAAAUAAAAAUGGCACAAAUGAGUUUUAAAUAAUAAAUUCGUCGAAAAUUGCUUUAGUCGUUCUCAUUCUGUCAUGGGUUAUUGGUAGAAUUAUGUCUCGGAUUAUAGGUCAUGGAAGUUAGGCUAAAUUUAUUAGGUAUGCAUUAGAAAUUAUAUGAUAUAUCUAAAAUUGAAGUGUUUUGCAGUUGGUGAGUAAAGAAAAGAAACAAAAA
RNAcentral lists this long non-coding RNA (288 nucleotides) under Malus domestica (apple). RNAcentral's name for it is "long non-coding RNA (MDOM_LNC015280)". The record is from RNAcentral. Lineage: Eukaryota; Viridiplantae; Streptophyta; Magnoliopsida; Rosales; Rosaceae.